CGCCCCUCCCGCCAGGCGCCCCGGCCCCGCGGGGCCGCUCCGGUGUAAACGCUGAACGGAGAAGGAGGUUUCAGCCAGCAGUUAUUGCAAUUGGAUGGCAUUUCAAUAGCCAGUCUCUAGCAAACUCCUAUGAGAUGCAUUUCAGAAGCCGCCUGUUGUGCUCCUUUCCAUCAGAGAAGCAAACAAACCUUCCCAGCUCAGCGAGCCACUGCACUGCUUCCUGCUCACCAUGACUAACACAGUUACACCAGAAGGAAGUUUAAAAUAAUUUAAUUAGUGUUUGGAGCAUAAGGUUCAUCUUCAGCCAGACCUCAGACCAUGCUUUCCAUAGCGUUUGGAUCACUGAAAUACUCUUAUAUAAGCCUAAUUGACACAAUUAGAAUGACGACUCCUUACAGAUGUGUGUUGCUGUAGCAACCUGGGAAGAGGGCGGCCUAAGUGCCCUCCAUAUUUAGCAAAAUAAUAUUAAUCAUAAUAGGUAGAAGCACUUUAUCCUUUUUAUAAGGCACUUGCUCAGGAGCCAAGUGGCUUAGCGUGUUGCAACAAGGAUCACUGUAAUGGAGUUGAAAUAAUUUGAAGGUGAGCUAAAAUUCUCUCAGUAAUAACCAAAAUUAUAUGGAAACAGAAGCAUAGUCAAAUGUUGUCCAAAUCUCCCAGGAUAUAGGCAGGAGAAUUAGCUGUUCAAGGCUUUGAUUCUGCUGCUGUAAGAACACAAGGGGAAGAAAAACACCAAAGACAUCCAUGGAAGCAGGCGGAAGCCUCUAAAUUGCUGAGUUUGCCUCGGGUUUAUCCUGCUGAAGGGCCUGGUUGUCCAGUGAGAGCUCUGUGGGGAGGCUUUAGAUCCACCUGCCAUCUCUUUUGUGUUAGAGGGACUCCAAGUUGCUCCAUGUUGUGGGCAGUGGAUAUGGGUAUGUAUGCAAGUGUUGAUGGGCACCGGCAGUGUGGUGAAACGGUAACAGGUCUCCUGCUUCCCCUGGAGCAUGCCGGAGUGGGAACAGCUGCUUUGCAGAGCAGAUUCAAAUGGGUUUGUUCCUGACUCUGUCUUGCAUAUCCCAGUAAACUUGCACAUUUCAUCCAAACAGCGUGGUCUCUUUGUCAAAGGGGCUGUGUGAAGUACCUGAGACUCAUGACUUAAGUCUUGUUUUCAUGAAAUCUUUUGAUUUGAAGCUGUACGUAUUUUGACUGGUGUGAUUGUCACUUCAAAGUUAUUAUUUUAACUAACGCCAUUUUGAACUUUGUCCUGAUGUCUUUGCAACUUGAACAGUCACACAGUGUUGCUACAGAGUACAAGAAAAACCUGAAGUCAGUGCUGACUGGGACUGAAUAAUGGGAUUUCCAUUUCCAAGUGGAAGAAGCAAGCGAAUAGCAUGAAUAAACAAGCAAAUGUGAAAAAAAACAAACACUCAUGUUUUGGAUGAUCUUGGAAAAUACAGAUGAAAUGAGAUCUCAAGUAGUCAUCUAUACAAUCCCACUCUUUACAGAUGGAUGAAUUUUAUCUCUGUCAUUCCUGACUAAGUUUUAUCUGAUGUCUUUUUAGAAAGAUUUACAAUCCCCAGGCAAUCUAUCUUAAUGCAUCACUAGCCUUAUUUUUAGAAAGUUUUUCCUAAUGUCUAACCAAAGUCUAUUUCUGCUACAAUGGAAUGUCUUAAUCAUCUGCAGUAUCUUUAUUUUUGAAGACUGCUCUCAUAUUCCUGCCAGGUUGCUCUUCACUAGAGCCACCACCCCCUAUUUAUCCAAUCUUCCCAUGUAAGUUGUGUUUUUCUAGAGCUCUGAUCAUACACAUUGCUCUUCUCUGUGGCCUGAUGAGUGCUUUAUCUCUCCCAAGCAUGGUGCCCCAAGCCAGGCUCACUGAGCUCCAGCUGAGAUUUGCCAAUACUGAGAAAAGUGCAAGAAUUAGUUUAUGUAUUUUAAUAGCCUCUAUUUAUAUUUGUAACUCUCAGUAUGUAGUUUGCUUUUUUGAAGGAGUAUGCAACCUCCAGAAUAUUUCUGCAGGGCUACUAUCACCUUCUCAUUGGCUCCGCAGUCUGUGUUUUUGCAGUGGAUUAUUGUUGACCAGACAUAAAAUCUUGGAUUUCCUAUUCUUAAAUAGCAUCUUACUUUUCUUCACUAACAAUCCCAGCUAUGUAGUUAACUAAUGUGACAGUGCUCAGCUGAAUAUUAAGCUUAUAUUUCUUCCAACUUGCUUUCAAAUUUUUUUAAGCUUUAUCACACUGUUUUGUGCCUGGGAUCUAUAAACCUUCAGCUUUGCUCUAAUUAUAGUUCCAAAGCCCAGGUACAGUAUGUUCAUGUGCAGCCUGCACGUGUCCCCUUCACUUAUCCUAUUCCAGGUACGAUGGUAUGAUUAUAGCUGUUUGACCUGUUGCACCAUUGGAAGCGCAGCUUGUCCUGAUAAUAGCACAGUUAUGUUUACUGUCCUUGCAGCUCUGGCAAUUACAUCUCAUUACACCACUUUAAUUAUUCAAGCACUGACAUUUGAGUGAUAAUUUGUCUAAAAUUCAGGCACAAAGAAAAAGAG
This is a long non-coding RNA of Athene cunicularia (burrowing owl), 2515 nucleotides long. RefSeq lists it as uncharacterized. The record is from RefSeq and is a predicted model, not a curated record. Lineage: Eukaryota; Metazoa; Chordata; Aves; Strigiformes; Strigidae. The transcript is spliced from 3 exons.